CAACCCUCAAGCCUGGCUUGGUGUUGGGGCUCUGCGCAACGCAGUCCCUUAAAUUCAGUGGCGGACACGCUAGGUCUCCGAGCGCAGUAGUUUCUUCUCGCUUCGGGCGUCCGGCGUGGGCUUGCCUCGCACCCAACUUCUCAA
This 144-nucleotide unclassified non-coding RNA is filed under the name uncultured Sordariomycetes. Its description in RNAcentral is "sequence contains ITS2". The record is from RNAcentral. Lineage: Eukaryota; Fungi; Ascomycota; Sordariomycetes.